AGGGAGGAAAAGCGGGAGAUGAGCCACCGUGCUUCACCUUUGCGCCUGGCUUCCUUCGGUUCUUCCAGGCUGCCAUCCUCCUCUUUGACAGAUAUUUUUUGGAAUCCAAAAAAUUACAGAUAAAUUUGAAGCCACUCUGUAUUCCUGCAUCUUUCUCUUCCCCCAUCUUCCACCUUCUUGCAGAAAAGUACAGUGUUGGAACGACCACCAUACAGGACCUGAAGAAACAGAGGGAUAGACUGUGGAAGUUCAGUGCUGCAGGUGACUCAUAGGAGUUGACAAAAAAUAGAAAAACACUGCAUAAAGCUAAAAAGGAAGAUCUCAACUGCGCACUGGAAAAGUGACCCAUCAAUAUCACAGUGGACACAUGCCACUUGAUGCUGAGCAUGAAACAAGAACGAUCUAUUAUGAUGAACUGAAAAUGGAAGGGAAUUGUGACUAUUCAAGACAUAAUGACUGGAGCUCCAGCAGUAACACUGGUCCAUGAGGACUCUUGAAAAUGGAAGCCACAAGCCAUCCAUAGAGUAGGAACAAGAUGGAAAGAAGGUGAGUCUCUGACACCAGGAGGACCAAACCAGCCUGGGCUGUUUUUCUUAGAAUUCACUGAAUGUGAAGGAGAACAUCUAUGUUGUUCAUCACUAUUUUUGGUUUUUCUCUAACAACUAAUUUUUUUUUUUUUAAGAGACCAAGUCUCCCUAUGUUUCCCAGGCUGGUCUUGAACUCCUAGGCUCAUGGGAUUCUCCUCAUUUUGGCCUCCCAACUUGCUGGGAUUACAGGCAUGAGCCACCACGCCAGGCCCUGACAACUAACUUUUCUCCUGACAAUAAGUCUAAAAGGAGAAACUACAUUUCCAAUAGGCUUGGGGUUUUUUCCCUUGUAGAUUUCUUUUGUAUUAGCUAUAGUGUUUUUGUUUUCCUGAUGGAAGGAAAAACAUAUAGUAUAUUAUUUAUUUUCAUCAAUUUUAACAUACUAGUAAGCCUAUCCCCACAUCCUCAUUACAUUUUUGUGAUUUAAAAUAAAUUUCAUUAUGUUACAUUGAUAUAGAACAUAUAGUGAUGUUAUAUUUUUAAAGAGAAAGAAGCUUAUUAUUAUAAGAAACUUAAUCAAAUUUAUAACAUAAUAGAAAGAACAUUCAUAAAGUUACAAGUAUACAAGAUUAUUCUAAGAAUUCUAUCAUUAAAAGCAUAUUCAUAUUGGUCAUUUCUUCAUUUAACCUGGUGAGUCCAAUUUUAAAGAGAAAUCCUGGCUAGUCAUGUUAUCUAUCUGGCCUAAUUGAUAAAUUUUUAUGAUUUAGGUCUUUGAGGCAAUGGCUGGUUCUAUUAGUAGUCUUUAACCUUCCAUUUCCAGAGGAGAUCUCAGUGGCUUUUGAAAAACACUAUCUUAUUGGCUGGGUAUAUUUGCUUAACCAUCUGUACUCCGUAACUUAGUGACGCUGAUACAUAAAGUCCUGACUUGUUCAUCAUUUCUGUAGAGUGCUUAUCUCCAGGUUUUCUGAAGCAGGUAAAAACUCAUACUUAUGAGCUACAUAAUUUGCAAGGCCCAGUGCAGAAUGAAAAUAUGAGGUCUCUUGUUCAAAACUCCUAAGAAUUUCAGCAUGGUAACAGCAGAGCAUCAAACCAAGUUCAGGGCCCUGCUAAGCAAUGAAACCCUAUGUUAUAGCCCAGGUCACAUGUGCCCAUCAAUCCAGCCUUGGGUAGAUCCUAAAUUGAAUCAGCUCCCACACCAAUCAACCGACAGAAGAAGAUACAUGCUAUUUCUAAGUGUAUUAUUUACCUCAGUCUCUGCUAUGCUUUUACACACAAAGUUCAGCAUUUAAUCCAAAUUAUAAGAGAUCCCAAAAAGCAAGAUCAAACAAAACAACAGUCAACAGAACCAGACAGAGAGAUGGUGCAGAUGCUCAAACUAGCAGAGGUUUUAACUGAUUAAUGUGUUAAAGAGUCUAGCGAAAAGGUAGACAACCCAUGACAGAGAAUUUGAUCAGAGAGAUGGAAACUCUAAAAAAAAGAGUUAAAUGAAACAUGAGCAAUGAAAAUGAUUGUUAUAGACUGACUAGUGUAACCCAAAAUUUACAUAUUGAAGGCUAGUCCUCAAUGUCACUGUAUUUGGAAAUAGAGUUUAUCUUAGCAUACUAAUACAAUCAUGGUCUCAGCUUUAAAGGAUUCCUUCAACAGGCUUAUUCAUAAAAUGAAUAUAGCAGAAGAAAGAAUUGGUGAACAUGAAGAGAGAUCAGUGGAAAUUAUCCACACUGAAACUUAAGGAGUAAAAAGAGAGGAGAAAAAUCA
Molecule: long non-coding RNA, 2282 nt
Organism: Sapajus apella (tufted capuchin)
Lineage: Eukaryota; Metazoa; Chordata; Mammalia; Primates; Cebidae
Exons: 4
Source: RefSeq, a predicted model, not a curated record